GGGGCAUUCAAAUUAUGCAUUCAAAACAAUAGAAAGAGAGUUAAAUAUUUUAAGCUGUGAUAGAAGUUUUCCUGAACUGUAUGCUUGCAUAAAUGGGAUCAGUUACCACCUUUUUAUAUGGAUAUCCAAGAGAAUUUCUGCAUUUCUGGAAUUGUUGAAUUUUAGUUGCAUCCAAUGAAAUGUCUUAUUAAUUUUGUAAUGGCUAAAAUCAUUUUUCAAGCUUUUUUAACAAUCAGUAGUCAUGGAUGUUUAUGCAAUUAUGCUACAUCGGCGGAUCAAAUAGUGCAGUUGUAUAAAGCAUAGUGCAAUUGGCACCUAAUGUUUUUAUAGCUGCUUUCACUGAUAGUUUGUUUUACUCCUUUUCUUUUCACAGAAACCUUUUUUCAUGACUGCAAAAUUUCAUGUCGCCAUAUGCCAUCAGGAAGACGUUCUUUAAUGGAUUUGGAACCUGCCUACAAGAUGGAGAGCAUAAGAGCAGUCCAAGAUAUUCAGCAUGAAUUUUGGCCUCUUGAUGAAAUAAAUGGAGAGAAUGCUAAGUUCCCCUGUUGUUUAGUUUGGACUCCUCUACCAGUAGUCUCAUGGUUGGCACCUUUCAUU
RNAcentral lists this unclassified non-coding RNA (597 nucleotides) under Hevea brasiliensis (rubber tree). Lineage: Eukaryota; Viridiplantae; Streptophyta; Magnoliopsida; Malpighiales; Euphorbiaceae. The record is from RNAcentral.